Molecule: ribosomal RNA, 1322 nt
Filed under: metagenome
Description: bacterial LSU rRNA
Rfam family: Bacterial large subunit ribosomal RNA
Source: RNAcentral
CUGCCAGGACUGCAGUUGACCGUACCGUAAUCCGACACAGGUAGGCGAGGCGAGCAGCCUAGGUGCUCGAGUGAUUUACGGAAAAGGAACUCGGCAAAAUGACCCCGUAACUUCGGGAUAAGGGGUGCCGGCAGUAGCUGACCUAAUCAAGGGAAGGCGAGACCGGCCGCAGAGAAUCGUCCCAAGCGACUGUUUAGCAAAAACACAGGAGCGUGCUAAGGCAUUGUCCAAGCCAACGUAUACGCUCUGACUCCUGCCCGGUGCCGGAAGGUUAAGGCAAGUCGUCAGCCGCAAGGCGAAGCGAUGAACCGAAGCCCCGGUAAACGGCGGCCGUAACAAUAACGGUCCUAAGGUAGCGAAAUUCCUUGUCGGGUAAGUUCCGACCUGCACGAAUGGAGUAACGACUUGGGAGCUGUCUCUUCCGUAAGCUCGGCGAAAUAGAAGCAUCGGUGAGGAUUCCGAUUACCCGCGACAGGACAAAAAGACCCCAUGCACCUUUACUACAACCUGUCAUUGAUUGUCGGUAUGCGUUGCGUAGCAUAGGUGGGAGCCGGUGAAACCGGGGUUUCGGCCCUGGUGGAGGCACCAGUGAAAUACCACCCUUCGUUUACUAACAAUCUCACUCAGCCGGCAACACCGGCGAGGACCGUGGCAGGCGGGUAGUUUGACUGGGGCGGUCGCCUCCUAAAAAGUACCGGAGGCGCACAAUGGUUGGCUCAGUGCGGUCGGUAAUCGCACGUCGAGUGUAUACGCAGAAGCCAGCCUGACUGCGAGCGCGACAGCGCGAGCAGGGACGAAAGUCGGUGUAAGUGAUCCGGCGGGACCGUGUGGACGGCCCGUCGCUCAUCGGAUAAAAGGUACGCUGGGGAUAACAGGCUUAUCGCGCCCGAGAGUUCACAUCGACGGCGCGGUUUGGCACCUCGAUGUCGGCUUGUCACAUCCUGGGGCUGGAGAAGGUCCCAAGGGUCCGGCUGUUCGCCGGUUAAAGUGGCACAUGAGCUGGGUUCAGAACGUCGUGAGACAGUUCGGUCUGUAUCCGUCGUGGGCGUGGGAAUGUUGAGGGACUCGACCUUAGUACGAGAGGACCGGGUCGAAGCGACCGCUCGUGUACGGGCUAUCCUGCCAAGGGUAUCGCCCGGUAGCGAUGUCGCGCGCAGAUAACCGCUGAAAGCAUCUAAGUGGGAAACUGUUCCCAAGAUGAACAUUCCUGGGUCUUAAGACCCCUGAAGGGCCGUGGGAGACUACCACGUUGAUAGGCGGCAGAUGUAAGGCGUGCAAGCGCUUCAGUCGAGCCGUACUAAUCGCCCGUGCAGUUUGAUCUC